RNAcentral lists this ribosomal RNA (372 nucleotides) under uncultured eukaryote. Its description in RNAcentral is "partial 18S ribosomal RNA". It matches the Rfam family "Eukaryotic small subunit ribosomal RNA", at positions 592 to 976 of the family's 1831-position model. The record is from RNAcentral.
CAAUAGCGUAUAUUAAAGUUGUUGCAGUUAAAAAGCUCGUAGUUGGAUUUCUGGGAGGGUGCCGCCGUCCGGCGUGUCCGUGUGCAGUGGCGCCCUUCCAUCCUUCUGUUAGCGUCUCUUGGCAUUCAUUUGCUGGUGGCGGGCUCAGAUAUUUUACCUUGAGAAAAUUAGAGUGUUUCAGGCAGGCUAGGCCGGAAUACAUUAGCAUGGAAUAAUGGAAUAGGACUACGGUCUCUUUGUUGGUUUGAGGGACUGCAGUAAUGAUUAAUAGGGAUAGUUGGGGGCAUUAGUAUUUAAUUGUCAGAGGUGGAAUUCUCAGAUUUGUUAAAGACUAACUUAUGCGAAAGCAUUUGCCAAGGAUGUUUNCAUUGA